AGUGAACGCUGGCGGUAGGCCUAACACAUGCAAGUCGAACGGCAGCACAGUAAGAGCUUGCUCUUACGGGUGGCGAGUGGCGGACGGGUGAGGAAUACAUCGGAAUCUACUUUUUCGUGGGGGAUAACGUAGGGAAACUUACGCUAAUACCGCAUACGACCUACGGGUGAAAGCAGGGGAUCUUCGGACCUUGCGCGAUUGAAUGAGCCGAUGUCGGAUUAGCUAGUUGGCGGGGUAGAGGCCCACCAAGGCGACGAUCCGUAGCUGGUCUGAGAGGAUGAUCAGCCACACUGGAACUGAGACACGGUCCAGACUCCUACGGGAGGCAGCAGUGGGGAAUAUUGAACAAUGGGCGCAAGCCUGAUCCAGCCAUACCGCGUGGGUGAAGAAGGCCUUCGGGUUGUAAAGCCCUUUUGUUGGGAAAGAAAAUCAGCAGGUUAAUACCCCGCUGUUCUGACGGUACCCAAGGAAUAAGCACCGGCUAACUUCGUG
This 492-nucleotide ribosomal RNA is filed under the name uncultured bacterium. RNAcentral describes it as "partial 16S ribosomal RNA". It matches the Rfam family "Bacterial small subunit ribosomal RNA", at positions 29 to 507 of the family's 1533-position model. The record is from RNAcentral.